AUCAAUUCAAAUCUUGCAAAGCUAAUUUCUCUCUCUCCCUCACUUGAAAUUUUCGACAACAUCACCUCUCUCCCUCACACACAUUUUCACCCAACACACACUAAUCUCCUUCAUCUCUCAUUUCCACCAUUUUCCUCCAUUGAUGAAAACCUUCGAAGCUUCCAACAAUAUUACCAAACACCUCAAACCACUCUAAUAUCUUCUAUAAACACAUUCUAGCCACUUUUAAUCAAGAGAAUCCUUGAAGAAGAAGCUCCAAAGUUAGAGUGAGAAAGUGAGAAUUUUGGUGAGAAUUUGGACCGAGCGAGACGAAGAAGUAAGUCGCCUGUUUUCUUUCCGAAACUAGCGAAGGACUUCAGGCUAAGCGAGGAGUGAGAUUGGUCUGGUGCUGGUGGAGGAACGUUUCAAUCGUUUUGAUCAUAUUUAAUAUUGCCUUUAUGUUAAUUAGAGUUUGAUGUUUGAGAUACUUAGUUUUCUUUUGAAACCAGGCAAUACACUCACGGUUAUGUGUCUUCAUACAUAUAAUCGGUUCGCCUUUUGCUGCGAUACUCUGCUUAUUAUUCUUCCUUAUGAAAAAUGAGCAAUACAUGUUUUGUUUUU
Salvia miltiorrhiza (redroot sage) is the source of this 600-nucleotide long non-coding RNA. RefSeq lists it as uncharacterized. The record is from RefSeq and is a predicted model, not a curated record. The transcript has 3 exons. NCBI's taxonomy places the organism in Eukaryota, Viridiplantae, Streptophyta, Magnoliopsida, Lamiales, Lamiaceae.